UAGGGAAUCUUCCACAAUGGACGCAAGUCUGAUGGAGCAACGCCGCGUGAGUGAAGAAGGUUUUCGGACCGUAAAGCUCUGUUGUUGGUGAAGAAGGAUAGAGGUAGUAACUGGCCUUUAUUUGACGGUAAUCAACCAGAAAGUCACGGCUAACUACGUGCCAGCAGCCGCGGUAAUACGUAGGUGGCAAAGCGUUGUCCGGAUUUAUUGGGCGUAAAAGCGAGCGCAGGCGGAAGAAUAAGUCUGAUGUGAAAGCCCUCGGCUUAACCGAGGAAUUGCAUCGGAAACUGUUUUCUUGAGUGCAGAAGAGGAGAGUAGAACUCCAUGUGUAGCGGUGGAAUGCGUAGAUAUAUGGAAGAAUACCAGUGGCGAAGGCGGCUCUCUGGUCUGCAACUGACGCUGAGGCUCGAAAGCAUGGGUAGCGAACAGGAUUAGAUACCCUGGUAGUCCAUGCCGUAAACGAUGAGUGCUAAGUGUUGGGAGGCUUCCGCCUCUCAGUGCUGCAGCUAACGCAUUAAGCACUCCGCCUGGGGGAGUACGACCGCAAGGUUGAA
This 554-nucleotide ribosomal RNA is filed under the name uncultured bacterium. RNAcentral's name for it is "partial 16S ribosomal RNA". It matches the Rfam family "Bacterial small subunit ribosomal RNA", at positions 355 to 898 of the family's 1533-position model. The record is from RNAcentral.